Small nuclear RNA from Artibeus jamaicensis (Jamaican fruit-eating bat), 108 nucleotides. The record is from RefSeq and is a predicted model, not a curated record. NCBI's taxonomy places the organism in Eukaryota, Metazoa, Chordata, Mammalia, Chiroptera, Phyllostomidae.
GUACACACAUUAGCAGUACAUUCACUAAAACUGGAACAACACAGAGAUUAAUUAGCAUAGACCCUGCACAAGGAUGAUACACAAAUUCAUGAAGUGUUCUAUAUUUUU